UACAGAGGGGGCAAGCGUUAUUCGGAAUUAUUGGGCGUAAAGGGCGCGUAGGCGGCGAUUCAAGUGACGGGUGAAAUCCCUCGGCUUAACCGAGGAACUGCCUGUCAGACUGGAUUGCUUGAGGCCGGGAGAGGCGAGUGGAACUGCGAGUGUAGAGGUGAAAUUCGUAGAUAUUCGCAAGAACACCAGUGGCGAAGGCGGCUCACUGGCCCGGUACUGACGCUGAGGUGCGAAAGCGUGGGGAGCAAACAGG
RNAcentral lists this ribosomal RNA (253 nucleotides) under uncultured bacterium. Its description in RNAcentral is "partial 16S ribosomal RNA". It matches the Rfam family "Bacterial small subunit ribosomal RNA", at positions 524 to 776 of the family's 1533-position model. The record is from RNAcentral.